This 119-nucleotide ribosomal RNA is filed under the name Lepisosteus oculatus (spotted gar). The record is from RNAcentral. Lineage: Eukaryota; Metazoa; Chordata; Actinopteri; Semionotiformes; Lepisosteidae.
AACAGCAGCUAUAUCACCCUGCAGCUCACAACUGGCAGCCCCUCUGCAGCUCAGCAGGUGUGAGCCUGUCCAGUACUUGGAUGGGAAACCUCCUGGGAAAGCACAGGUUGCUGCUGGAA